Molecule: unclassified non-coding RNA, 1018 nt
Filed under: Leishmania donovani
Lineage: Eukaryota; Euglenozoa; Kinetoplastea; Trypanosomatida; Trypanosomatidae
Description: gene:unknown
Source: RNAcentral
UAGCUAACAUCACCACCACCACCCCUCCCGCCCUCGUGCUCUCCGUCUCUCGCUGUGACUGUUGACAAGUUUUCGUCGUGGGCACGCAUUCGUUUCUGCAAGGUACCUUCUUCCCCCGCCUCCUCAUCUCUGCAGCCCUCCCCCGCCCCCACUCCUCCAUGGUAAUGCCAUCGCUUGGCCUCCGUAAAUCGAGGUAUGCCAAGGGGUGGAUCUUAUCCGCGGCGCCGCUGCUCUGCGGUGUGCUGAACUCCCUCCUCUAGUGUAUCCGUUGAGUGAGGAAGUGAUUGAAGGGUGGUGGUGCAAGAGGAUCCAGAAGUGCGGAUAAGUAUGCCUGCAACGGCUUGCUGCGCGUGUAAGGUGGCGUGCGCCGCGCAAGUCCUAGAGGAAUGAUCAUCAAGUCCAACUCUUGUCUUACUUGCAUGUAUGCUCCUCUUGCAUCUUCACGGCUCUCAUCUACGCGAGUCCUCUCCCGCGCCCUGCCACAUCCGAUGACCCCUCCCCCAUCCUCGACCCUCUUCUAUCGCUAUCCAUGCUAUGCUCGUUCUCUGUUAGCCCAGCCGCCUUUCUCUCUCUAUUUUACGUGUUGCUCCCAUGAAACGACUCCUUACACUCACUGAGGCUCUCGCUCGCUCUGCGCGUGCGUGCGUCAGGGGGCGUCGGCGGAGGGCACGCCUCCCUCCCCUUUUUCUUUGUUGCUGUUGCGCUUGUACCUCCGCGAUCUCUUCCUUCUCCCCUGAGCAGGCGCACGCCUCCCUGUCGAUAAGUGAGCGCGCGUGUGUGCGCGUCACCGGGAUUGGAUUUAUGUAUCCUCUUGCGCUUGCGGAGGUGGAUGGCGUGCACAUUCUUGGUUUACAGCGCGAGUGGGGCGGAGCACCGAACGAAAAAAAAAAGAGGAGCAACGCAAAGUCUUUAGCCGGGCCUCUGAGGGUGCGCACACACCCCUCCUUUUCUGUGCUGAGCAGCGGUUUCGUUAGAGGGGGUGGGUGGGGUAUCUCACCCACCAUGAUGCCGCGCCAUC